CUUCAGCGAGCCCAACCACAGCGGCCGUUCACCAGUGUGGUGCUGACCGUAAGUGGCCAGCAGUGCUUGGGCUUC
Molecule: antisense RNA, 75 nt
Filed under: Saccharopolyspora shandongensis
Lineage: Bacteria; Bacillati; Actinomycetota; Actinomycetes; Pseudonocardiales; Pseudonocardiaceae
Description: ASpks TB sRNA
Rfam family: ASpks TB sRNA
Source: RNAcentral